AUACACCCAGUCUUUCAUGCCUCGCAGCUCAAGCCCUUCACUCCUGACUACAGUCCAGUUUUCUCAGAGCUAACCCGUGCACUGGACCUCACAGCGGCACCGUUACAACCUAUUAGUCUCGAACGUCGCAUGGUGGAGAAAGGUAACAACUCAAUUGUGCAGGUCAAAGUUCAGUGGUCUUCGUUAGCUCCUGAAUCCUCGACCUGGGAGGAUUAUUCUGUGCUCCGUCAGCACUACCCGAAGGCAAGCUGUUGGGAUGAAGACGCCCGCGCUCAAGGGGAGGCAAAUGUCACACCUUUUUUUUAG
This 306-nucleotide ribosomal RNA is filed under the name Triticum aestivum (bread wheat). RNAcentral's name for it is "partial small subunit ribosomal RNA". The record is from RNAcentral. Lineage: Eukaryota; Viridiplantae; Streptophyta; Magnoliopsida; Poales; Poaceae.